RNA transcript from Trifolium pratense (red clover), 4163 nucleotides. It is a transcript of the gene named vacuolar cation/proton exchanger 1c-like, with no coding region annotated. The record is from RefSeq and is a predicted model, not a curated record. NCBI's taxonomy places the organism in Eukaryota, Viridiplantae, Streptophyta, Magnoliopsida, Fabales, Fabaceae. The transcript is spliced from 8 exons.
AUUUUCUUCAUUUAUCAAAUUCUUUCUCUCUCUUCUCUCUUCUCUCUUAUGCGCUCUCUCACUCUCUUCUCUCUUUUCACUUUGAUUCCGGCAGCCACCGCCGGCCACCGCCGCCGGAAAACCCCAAAUCAAACCCAAAUCAACUCACCCAAAAACCUCUUUCACGCAAAACCUUCUUCUUCCUCUCAGAUGGGCCGAAAAUCAUCAACCCUAACCCCCAAAUUUCAAUUCCUCAAAUUUUGAUCAUCUUGUAUGUUUGAAAUUGUCGAUGAAAUUGGGUAUUUGGAUGUCAAUAAACUCAGGAUCUCUACAGAGAAGGACAUUCUAUCAUGGGCUGUGAAGGUUCACAAAUUCGGGUUUGGUUUGGUAAGUUUUAUGAACUUUGAAUUUUUCACUUUUCCCCUUCUGAGUUAGGUUUGAUUUCAGUUUUUUGUGAAUAUUCUUGACAACAUGAAAUUUUUUGGUUUUUAACUCUUUUUAGUUCCUGUUUUUUGUGUUUAUUUUUUUUAUAUAUUGAUUUUGAAAAAGAGGUUUUUGAAAAGAUUGUUUAUGACAGGGAUGACAAAGAUUGUUACCAUUAUUGAAUUCUCUUUGAUGAAAGUAAUAUUCUUGAGAAUUAGCUUUGAAAAUGUUUUAACAGAUUAAAAGAACACAUAGAUUUCAAUUCAAAAAGAUUGGUUUUUCUGACUUUUUUCUAUAUUCAUUUUCAUCCAUUUUUAAAACUUAAAUUGUUCAUUAUUGGGGUUUAUUGUUCAUCAUGAUGAUUUUGUUGUUUCUUUAAAUGCAAAGAUUUUGUUGAUUUUGAAAGUUGGAUCCUUUACUGCUCGAAAAAGUCAGACAAACCGUGUAAGAGCUUAAUUAUUUUGCUAAUGAUAAUUAUUUUCAUGUUUCUUCAUCGAAUUGUAGUUUCAAAUCAUAUCAUUUAUGAAUUUUGCUUAUUUAUCUUUGUACUACAAAUCUAUUUAUGUAUCAAUUUGUUGUUAAGGAGGAAUCCAAUAUACUAAUGUAUACUAGAUGGAGAAUUACUUGAAUGAGAUUAUAACUCUUGCAUUGCUUCAAUAGAAAUAGAAGGUGAGAUAGAAGAAGAAGUGGUUUAUUACAUUUACAUUCAUGCUUUCAUAGCCUUUUUGUAUAAUUCUUUAAACAUUUUCUAAUAUAAUGAUGAUUAGAGUGAUAUAAACAAAUAUGUUAGUUUUGCAUCACCACACCAAACAACUUUUUUUAUAUUUCUUUCAAAACAUGCCUUAUUAGUGCAAAGAUAUGAUAAAUAUUAGUUUAUGUGUAUUUAGUGGUAUAGUUAUUAUAUGAUUUUCGGUUACUUGAAUAAUAACCAUUAGUUCUCUUCGCUUCUUAGGGGGCAAGGACACAAUAUCCUAUUUUUUAUUUGAUGGUUAUUAGAUUAAAGUGAUUUUUGUACCAUUACCCAGCAUAUCAUGUUUGGUCACUCAUUAUAAAUGUUUAAUCUUUUUUUAGGCAUUAAUCAAUUUAAUCUUAUAACCUAUAAAUUCAUUUAUCUCUUGAAGUAUUCAUGUUGAGUUUAUAUCAAGCCUUAAAGAAUGAAGUAUCAUGAAAUUUUUGGAAGCUGAAGAUAUAUGUUUCUUAAUUAUGAAAUUUUUGAAUUUUAAUGUUUGGACAGGAAGGUGAAGGUGAGAACAUGGAGGCAGAAGAAGAGGCCGUGAUUGGAUUCUGGAGUGCAUUUGGUUGGUUGGAUGGAAUGACUGUUUUCAUUGCUUUGUUGUCUGAAUAUGUGGUGGAUACAAUUGAGAGAUUCAAGAAACCUAUUUCGAGAGGAAGUACCAGUUUCCUGGAAUGGUUUUAAAAAGUGAUUGCGGUAAAGGUCGCGGUUGCGUUAUUACCUUUGCUAUUGCCGUCAUUGGAACCAAGAUCACCUUCUAUUAUUGUUUAAAUCUAAUACAGAACUCUGAACUCUGGAGGAAAGAAGAUGUAUAUGUAUCUUUAUGUUCAUGUGCCUGCAACAAUGAUCUCUUUGAGUUAGUUUGCGAUGACCGAACCUUCAGAGGUCGUUUACGUUUGAAACGUAGGGUACGAAAUAUCUGAGCAAACACAUCAUGAGGAUUUCAAUUUGCCUGAAGAAUCCUGCCAUGGUUUUCUUCCUGAACUGCUGCAUAUUUAGAAUGAUCAAAUGAAUCAUUGGCUUAUGUAGAGACAAAAAUAAUGUAUAGGAAAAAAAAAUCAGAGGUAGUAGAAGCAUACAAGAAAUAUGUAGCAGAUAUAAGUGAUUUGGGACUCAUCAUCAAAUCUAAAAGUAAGAAGACGUUGUUGCAUAAUGAAUCUCGGUUAGAUCUCUUAUUAGUAUUGUUAUUAUAUUAUACGCUGCAAUUGUUAUAUUAUUAGGCAGUUAAGGAAGUUGUGUUAUUUAGAUGGUUACUGAAUAAAUCGGAAAGGAGAGACCCAAUACUCUAAAAUGCACUUUCGUUUUUAUAGUGAAUGAGCAAACUAGCAUCACAUCAAGAUCUCAAUUCCAAAUAAGGUAUUGGAGUUGAGAGGAAACAUAAUGGUCUUAGAUUUUGAUUGGAUCUCCAAAGAAGACUUUGUCUUUUUAAUUUGGUUCUAUAUUGAAGUUAAAUGCUCAUUUUGAAAGAUUUUCAUUUACUUUCUUUACAACAGAUAUUUUUGAGGACACUGUACCAUUUGCAACAUGUAUGCAUUUUAAAACUCUCAUUUUUGUUUUCAAUUUCACUUAAGUUUUGUUAUGUGGCUACAAAAUUCGAUUUUGAGUGAAUUUAAUUUGUAAAGUUGUUCUUACUUGAAAGUUGAAAGUAGAUCAAAUUCCAAGUGUUGCAGCAUAAGCUGACAGGCGGCUAAGCAUGCACAUGCAUCAGUUGUGCAGUCACCACUAGAUGACGAUGCUUUAACACGAUGGCAGCGGGAUGUAGGCCAUGAUGAUGCAGGGCAGCAGGAUGCAGACCAUCAAAAAGACUCACCUAAUGUUGCUGACUCCAAGUAUUCAUAUGGUGUGAUCAGCUUGAAGCAGUUGAAAGAAGUUUUGUAAGUAAUGUGCAGAGAAAGCCAUUAAAUUUAUACUAUUUCAUUACCAUUGUUUAUUGUAUAGAAACAAGGUUUCAGACUAUUUUUUCUUAGAAAUAAGAUUUUUACGUAAUUGGCACAUAUAUGCUUAGAAUGAAAUAAAAUGAUACAUUAUGUUUGCAUCUUUGGAUACUAAGGCUUUGGUGUUGAUUUGUAUGCUACAAGUGGUCUUCUUAUGAGAUUUGUAUUUGGAGAUGACAGUGUAUUGCAAGCAUGGAAGAAUAUAAGUGUAUUUGAUGAUUUCGUUUGUAAUGUUAUAUGUACUUAAUGUUACAUGAAUUAGGAUGUAUUUUUGGUUCAUUUGUAGUGUUUGUAAUUUCACUCUAAAUUUCAUUCAAACUGAAAUAUAGGUUGUAUUUUGAGUAAUUUUUAACAAGUUAUGUAUAGUUAGUACUAUCUUGACACCAAUGCAGCUUACCCUUUAGUGGUUUAGAAAGAGUUAUAAAAUUAGUUGAAAUAGAAAAUGGAUUCUUAUGAUUUUUGUUGAUUGUUGUAUUGAUUGUCUGCAGGAUGCUUGCUAUGAAGCCUUAAGCAAUUUUCAAGUUGGAGAUAUGCAUUAGUUUUAUUGGAAUUUUGUCACUUUUGCCAAAGCACAGAUUGUGGUGGCUUUGCUGGUGUUGAGAAAAUGUGAGGAAUGGGAGAUGCUAUAGUUUUUUUUUUUUUUUUUGCAUCAUGCUGGUGUAUUGACCAGUUUCUUGAUUUGGUUUUUAAGUUUAUUUACUCUUUCGGAUGUAUCGAUUAUACAAUGUACUUCUCUAUCCUAUUAUCAAUGAUUAUAUGAAUGAUUUUUAAUGUCAUCAUCUUAACGUACUACUCAUGAGAAAUUUAAAUUAAGUGUACUCUUAGACAAAAAUUUAAUUUUAUAGAUGUCACGAGUCUUGAAAGCUUUACUAUAAAAUUUUGUGUGAUGCUUCACUUGAUUCGUUUUAUUAUGGCGGACACAAGGCUUCUUAUCAAGCCGAACAUCACUUCAUGUGGUUUUAAACUGUUUGAUCUUAAUCGAGCGGCUGCAUAUGACCGACUAUAUAAAUACGAGAAAGUUUUGACUGCACAAGAACGUGAUCCCCGAUAAAGGUGGGCAAUUAGAUUCUGCGGCAGAAAUCAGUAAUCAACAA